CGGUGAAAAUUAUUCUUGGAGCUAGGUUUAAUUGAGCUGCAUUUUAAAGAGGUGCAAUUUCACAAUUUGUGUAUAUUUUCUACGUUCACUAUUUUGUCAUGUGUUGAGAAAAACACAGAUUUUAAAAUUACAUGGUCUAAUAUUUACAUUUAGCAUAUAACUGCAACAUUAUUUUUUCGUUUUUUUUUUUUUUAAAGACUGGAAAGGACUUGAAAUUCAAAGUUUCAGACUUGCAGGUUAUAUUUUGUCAUAACAUAGACACUGUUUCUGAAAUUGACUGGGUAAUAUGACGUAAAAUCAAGUAGGUCUUCAACAUCAGUCAGUUCAGUUGCUUGGGCAAGGUUGGGAAUUGCAAUUUCAUAGGCAAGAAAGUCUUUGUUGAAACCCAAGGUUUCAUACACCUGGUAUUCAAAACAAUAAAGUACACUAUUAACAAUAAAAAUGUUUUUUACAAGUCCAAAGAUAGGGUUUAAACCAUUUGCUGAAAUGAGUAUAAGAGACCUGUCACAGAUGUAUUUGUUUCCAUGUAAAAUAAGCCACUUUACUCUAACGGCAUGAUGUAUAGCAUCUUCAAUCCCCAAAAACUCUACAACCUUUGAUUGCAAAUGGUCCAUAUUAGCAACCUCUGAUACAGGACCUAGUUCUUUCUCAUUUACAAAUAUCGGAUGCUCAGUUCCUGCUUCACUUUGGCAACACUCCAGCAGCUGAUUAUGGUUUACAAGAGACUUGCACACAUUCUUAAAGUUUAAUUUGGAUGACCAUUGUUUAAAAAAACUGUGUUUAGACUCGAAUCUCAUGCACAUAUGACGUAUUACAGGUCCCAGGGCAAUAAUUUGAGAGGGAAGAUGCAGCAUGUAAUGUUGCUUUGGUAUUACAUUUUUUUCUGGGAUUAGUUGCCUGAAUUGUUUAAGAUGAUCUUCUAUCAUUUUUUUUAGUUUGGACACAGUUUGUAAAGACACAACUGGGGCAAAAAGUAUUUUAACAAUUUCAAUUAAAUCCAAAAUAAACUGGAUAAAGGGAUUUUUCUCUACAACACUGUACAAUAAGAAUGGCAAAAUCUUGAUCAAUAUAAGCAUUUGUCCAGAGGAUUGUUUGAGUCUGUUGUCACUUGAAGCUAAAGUAGCAAUACUAAUUGGUGAAGGCUUGUCACGUAUGUCCACUGAUGAAAAAGGAAAGUUCUGCAUGGCAGAAUUAAACAAGUCCAAAUCCAAAUUUCUAGAUAAAACAAGGUAUUUCAACACACACUUAAUUUCCAUUGGUGCCACUCCUUCAAGAAUUACAUGCAUAAUAUCCUGUAGCAUCUGCUCUAUGAGAUUAAAACCUGGGAAAUCAACUAAUUUGCUUUGUCUAUUUAUGCCAAAAGUCGUUUUGAGCGAGGAUUUCAAAAAUUCGGUAGUUGCCCUUUCUAUUUCAAUGCACUGCCUAAUGUGUCCGUCCAAUGUCUGUCUGGUGAAACUAUGUUCAUUGAAAUUUUCUUGCAUUUCAUCAAAAGUACACUCACAAUGACGACAUUUGCUAUACACAAAACCAACUCCUUCCUUAAAUCCUGCAAGCUCAUGCUGGGCAAGAGUGUCUCCACACACAGCAACAACUGCUCCGUUUAAAUAAAAUUCCCCAUUGACAGUGUUAAUCAUAACACCAUCGUACAGUAACUUCAAGUCCUCAUUGAUUCUCCGCAGUAUUAUAUCUACCCCCCACUCAUCUAUGUCCCUAGACUUUGCGAUUGCGAGAAGUCUGAUGGAAGCCAACUUUGAUCUAAACUUAGGGUCUAUGUUGCCUAAGGUGUAAUAAAACAUUAGUAGUUUAUUUACACUCGCACGUGACCCUAGGGGGUUACACAUUUCUAUCUCAUCAGAAUAGAGUAUCAGUUGUAAAGCAGAGUUCUUCUUUGAAAACAGUGGGUGGGUUUUGAAAAUAAUUCCAUCAUUAAUGUCAUACAAAAAACUGGCGUUGGGGCAACUCUGAGGUCCAGCACUGAGCAUGUCAAAUAGUCUUGAAUUGGAUAAUAGCUGUUUCAAACUUUCAAUCAAAGGAAUGUAGUAGAAAGACUUGUUUUUGAUUGCAAGAACUCUCGAUUCUCCCUUUUUAACUCUACAGGCAUAAUUGGAAAUGAUGAUCUCCUCAGGUGUGACAGGGUUGAAAUGCAUCUGUGUUACACGGUCCUGUAGGUUUGAAGCUGCACAUAUGGGAAAGGGAUCCUGAAAGUUGUCCAGUGUUGAAAGAACUUCUUGUUGUAAAGGUCCAUUGCUGUCAGGUUGCCUUUCAAGGAUGGUCUUUAUUUUUCCCCUCAAGGACGUCAGAAGAGCUGUUUGAUACUGUUGGACACCAAGGACAAUGUUGUUGACACUCCUCUGAUGGGGGAAAAAAAACACAUCAGAGACAUGAAAGCGUAAAUAGAAAAUAUAACAGAAGCAAAAUGCAACUCUAUUUCUUUAGCUCAAAUUAAUGAGCCACUGAAUGUUGUAAUUUACCAGUGGAGCAGUAGAAGAAGAAAUCAGCCAAUAAUUGGCAUUGUUUUGCAUGACAUGCCACAUGCAUGACUCACGUGGCACAAACACAUUGCACCGAGCAAGAUGGAGGAGCAUGAAAGGUUACAACAGAAAAAGUGAACAAAUGAUUACCUCAUUUAUUUUUUUUAUGUAAUUCUACUUCAUUUGUCUUUUAUACCUAAAAGUGAACACAUUUUACACUGUUAAGCCUAUUUUAAACUGUUGAGUGUGCCCAGAGUUACAUACAUUGCAGUGAACUGCACAACUCUUGUGCUUAACUUCUUCGUAAUGUACAUUUGUUCUUAAUAACUUAUAUAGGUGAAAGUAAUAGCUGAAUAAAACCAGCGAUGAAAAACAAUCAAUUAAUUGCAAAGAUAGUGGACAGAUUAUGAAAAAAAAAUUAUUAGUUGCAGCCUUACAUUGAACCAGACUUAUUAACAAGUUAACAAUGACACCCCCAUAAUAUCAGAUGAAGCAGUACCUGUGAUAGGUGGCAUUGCUCCCGCACACCAAUAGCAAAUGCAGCUGCACAUCUGGCAAGAUCAACAGUUUCUCUUUUACCCUACAGGACAAAAAGAAAAACAAUUGUGUAAGAAAAAUGACUCACUCAGAAUGUGUUUCAAAUUCCACCAGAUGCAAAACAAAACAAAGAAAUAUUCCAAACUGUUGUACAUUUUUGCUAUUAAAAGAUUCAUACUACAAUGGAUAGCUAAUGAAGCUGCAAAUGUUAUGAACAAUUUAAGAGUUAUUUAAUGAAACUUAACCAAUCUUUAUGGAAUCUACUCUGAAGUUAACUGAAAGAAAAAUUUGAAAGCUGCUUGGUUCAUGGAGCAUCUAACAACAAUCAAGGCAGGUACACAACACUGGUAAAUAAGUUUAUUUAUUAUGUUUAAGUAUGGUAACUAAGCCUACAUUGUUGUGCAAGCCUGAAUUUCAGCGGAUUCAUGCAUUUGAAAUUCAGCACUGGCCUUCAUACCUAUUAAAAUAUUCUAAUCAAGUAGUUUAUCUUAGAAAACACAUAACUUUAAAACUAUAAUUUUCACUUGAACUGAGUACAUUUUCUCUAGUUAGGCUUUACUACGGUUUUACUAAAGCUGAAUUGGGGUAACUGUGCUUGGUUAAGGUUAAACAACACACAUACAUUUAAAAAUUCGCGCACGUACACACAGAAACACAUAAAGUACAUUACCUGAUUCUGACGAGGUGUUUGAAGCUCAGCCGCGUCUUGCUCCAUCACGUUCUGACUUUCCUGUCGCUCCUCCUCCAACACCUCCGAUGUUACUGGGGGGUCUAGUGGUGGUGGCUCUACUUCAGUGCCAUUGCCAUUGCUAACAGUUUGUCUGGGUUCGGCAGUAUAGUCGGCAAAAAUGGCUGUACCAAAAUUUUCGCCUCCUAAUACAUUUGCAUCGGAUGAAGCUGUCAGCCAUCCUGUAGGCGGGUUCCCAGUGGAGAUGUAUUGUGGAUGUGUGCGUCUGAGAUGGUGGUAAAACGAGUUGAAAACACGGUAAUCCUCGGCGCAUCCAUCGACUCCACAAAUGACACGGAAAUCUGGACUGCGACUGUGUGCAGUAUUAAUGUGACUUAAGAGAGACUUCAAUGUUAACGCCACAAAGACGAAGCAAAUCACACACCUCCAACAGGCCAUUGUAUUAGACUAAAGUCAAGCAAAAAAUAUGUUGCAGUGUGGAGCUGUUCCCUCGGGUCCUCUUAAUCAGCGGUCUCCAACCUUUUUUGCGCCACGGACUGGUUUAUGCCCGACAAUAUUUUCACGGACCGGCCUUUAAGGUGUCGCGGAUAAAUGAGGGAGGGGCUAAUAAUCGGCUCAGUCAUUUUUAAUGAUCGUUGAAAGCCCAGAUCGUAAUCGUGAUUAAAAUUCGAUUAAUUGAGCAGCCCUAGUACAAACCACUAAAUUGUAUAUAGAAGCAAAAAUUGAGAUGUGCACCCCCUUCGUGUUCCAUGUUAGUUGUUACCCAACUCCGUUUGAAUUUGGAGUCACAGUAAUCUUCUGCACCUGAGCAUUGAAAGAAAAACUGUGAGAGAAAACUUCGUCAAGAAAGAGAGGUGACUGAGCAAUGGAGAAGCUGGAUGAUGUAACAGUAUCUGUCCUUAAAGCUGCAAGCAUUGACGAGCGCAUGCUUUUAACAUUGACCCGUGAUGAUCUGAGGGACCUUUUUUCUGGGCCUGAGCACUUUCUCAGAAGAAAACAUGUGUGGUCAAUAAUUCAUCCUGAGGAAGACCAUCCGCUACCACAGAAACCUGAAACAACUUCUUCACCCAGGGUAGUUGCAACAGGCCCUCCAACUGCUGAUGCUAAUGUAAGCCAGCUGAAAACCUUGCAGCUCCCCAGUCCUCCGGAAUAUGUUCUGUACACCGACAGUGAGUUGGAGCAAUGCCGAAAGAGUUACCUGGAGUUGGCCUGCUCCGGCAGGGAACAGGCAUGCGUCAUGUCAAAAGAACUGAGAUGCAGAUUGGUGAGAAAUACAAUCACAAGUAUGGUGUCCCUUUUGAGAGCAAGCCAAGGCCAAAUGGAGCGAUACCCCUCUAAGACCGAAAUCACUGCAAUGGCUAAAAAAGUUGUGGAAUAUUAUCCUAUGCUGCAGGAUAAUGAUGCAAGCGUAAAACACGAGAGCAUUAAUGCCAAGUUACAAAAAAGGCUGCAAAAUAUGAAAACCCCAGUAAAAAGGCAAGGACCAACACCGGAGAGGGGACGGCCCAAGAGAAGGCUCACUGACCUCUACCCAAGGGAUGAAGAAGCUGAUGAUGAAGAUGCUGAUCGCAGUUCUUCCAGUGGUGCAUCUACUCUGUUAUCACCUGUCAGAAAUUCUGACAAUGCCUCCACUUCAUCUGACAAGGAUAGUCGGCAAAUACAAGCAAGACAUUACAAAACAUUACAAGAAAUGUGUAAGAAGGCAAAACCAAACCAAGAAGAUGUGUCCCAGCUAUUAGACCUCGAGUUUGAAGCCAGAAGAUCCUUCAUUGACUCAGACACCAUGAAAGAGGAGAACAGAGCUUGCCUCAUCUUGGAUGCAUAUCCAUGCUUUAAAGAAUUGCAUCAUGCGUUGGGUGAGCUUCGCAGAAUUUUGGAUCCCCACAACAACAAGUUCAUCAGUCAAGUAAAACUGAGAUGGGAAGAAUUCUGCUCCAGGGUAGAGUUCUACGGUGUGUCAAAGAAGGCAAUGAAUCCACCAAUGACCAUGGACAAAACUGAAGCCCACCUUGCACUGAUGAAGGCUCUUCCAACCCUCUUUCCCACACCUGCCCAUCCACCAAAGAAGAUGGGGAAUGCUUCUGAAGCAUUUCUACAUGUCCUGAAGCCUACAGAAGAUCCAGAUGCUGUCCUCCAGAAACGAAGCUUGUCAUGUCCAGUAGUGAUGUUCGAUGGCUGCAAGUGUGUCAUUGCUGUUGGUAAUUUACCAGUUACAACAUUUGACAAAGAAAAAAUUGGUGAGGCUAUGAUAUAUGUGAUGGCAUACUUUUAUGCACUCCAUCUGACUUACCACAAAUGCGUGGCAACCCUGCUGUCUGUCAUUCAGACAGAAGUUCUCCAGGAUGCCAUUCAUGAGCAUGACACUACAUCAUCUUACAGAAAAGCCCUGGCAGAAUGGCAUGCAUUUAUUGGAAAGUAGUGUGUAAAUUUCAGAUAAGAUUAGGAGAGGGCACUUCUGUUUUGUUUUUGUUUGUUUUUUCAAUCUGGGUCUUAUUUCUAAAAUGGAAAAUGUUCAUUUACUCACCCAGACAAGUUUUGUGGUAUUUGGUGUCAUUCGGAAGAAAUUUGAAUCUUUGUGGUCUUCCUAUGUCACUCGUCAAUUUUAAUGGGGCAAUGGCGAAACCUCUAAGGCUGUUGAAAUGUUGAAACCACUUAAACAAACUCAUAAUGUUGGACCUGUACUGUUCAAUUGUAUCUUUAUUAUCUGCAGGUUAUUGUUAAAGUGGACAAAUAAAGAUGGACACUUUUACUCUG
Astatotilapia calliptera (eastern happy) is the source of this 6450-nucleotide long non-coding RNA. NCBI's taxonomy places the organism in Eukaryota, Metazoa, Chordata, Actinopteri, Cichliformes, Cichlidae. The record is from Ensembl.